ACAUUGAAAAGAGUUGUACUAGUAAGUACAAUAAUUUGAUUAUAGUAUAAAAUUUAGAAUUAAAGUGAUGGGAUUUAGUGUAGGAAGUAAAGAAAUAAAAUGUAAGAUAUGUAGCUGUAAAGGGAUUUAGUAGAAAGAGGAUAAAUUACCUUUUGUAUUAGGGUAUAAUAAAAUUGAAACAGAUUGUUUAUUUCCCGAAGAAGGAAUAGCUAAAAGGAUUAGAAGUUAAUGUAGCAAUAUGGAUAUUAAACUCUUUUUAGAAGUGAUAUGUUAGACGGUUUCUUGGAUAUCUGGUUCAUACUUAAUUAAUAUUUAAAUUCCUUACUUUGAAUAAGAUCAAAGUUUUGAGUAAGUUUAAGUAAGGAGUUAACUAAAGGGGGUAAUCUCCUUUAGAUAAUCAGGACAAUAAGUUUACAGGAUUUAUUAAAUAUUGUAGGCUUAAUAUUAGCUGGACUGAGUAAGGUUAUACGAGGCUUUAAAGUUAAGUGGAUUUAGAUAAGAUUUGUGUUAAAAAUUUAUGGAUUAAACUGAGAGAGAUUUUUUAAUUAAUAAUGUUGUGAUUAGUAUUAUAAAGUGUAGUAAAGUAGAAGUUGAUGGGAAUAGUUUUUAUGAAUUCGACAAAUGCGUUUAAGGCUGUUUAACAAAAACAUUUCUUUUAGAGUUUAGUUAAAAGUAAAAUCUGCCCACUGUUGAAUAAUGAAGGGCCGCGGUAUUUUGACCGUGCUAAGGUAGCAUAAUCAUUAGUCUCUUAAUUAGAGAAUAGAAUGAAGGAUUAAACUUAGAGGCAUUGUAUUAAUAUUAGGCUAAGAAUUUGUAGUGUAAGUGAGAAUACUUAUUUUUAUUCAAUAGACGAUAAGACCCUAUAGAUCUUAAUCUUUAGUUCAGUUAAAAGAAUUAGUGUAAUAAUUUAAAAGUAUUAGGGGUUUUAUUGGGGCAAUAUAAGAAUAUAAGUAAUUUCUUAGAAUUAUAGGUACAGCAGUAUAUAGUCUAAAAGUGUAAGUUUAAAAAGUUACCUUAGGGAUAACAGCGUAAUUAAUUUGGAGAGUUCUUAUUGAUAAAUUAGAUUGCGACCUCGAUGUUGAAUUAAGAUUCCUUUAUGGGGCAGUACUUAUAGAAGGUGGUUUGUUCAACCAUUAAAAUCUUACAUGAUUUGAGUUCAAACCGGCGUGAGCCAGGUUGGUUUCUAUCUUUGAAUCGUUAUAGCUAAGUGUAGUACGAAAGGACCCUCUUUAGCUAAAGGGUUUAAA
RNAcentral lists this ribosomal RNA (1247 nucleotides) under Pseudachorutes palmiensis. Its description in RNAcentral is "16S ribosomal RNA". The stretch from base 550 to 1247 matches the Rfam family "Archaeal large subunit ribosomal RNA", at positions 1423 to 2788 of the family's 2987-position model. The record is from RNAcentral. Lineage: Eukaryota; Metazoa; Arthropoda; Collembola; Poduromorpha; Neanuridae.